AGAAUUUGAUUGUAACAAUUGGCUUUGUGUUUUUAGUAUUUUUUGUAUUAACAUAAUUAAUAUUUUCAUUUUUGUUGUUGAGUUAAUAAUAUCAUCUUCGUUUAGAUUCCAGUUCCAGUUUUGAUUGAUUCCAAGAAUUUGUUCAACAUGAUCUCGAUUGGUUAUGAUGUGUAAUAAUAAAUUGACUCUUGUGUUACAACAAUUUCUUAUUGUUAUUUUGUUAACAUUGUUGUACCAUUUGUAUGGUGUCCAUGGUGAAUAAUAGUACAGUUUCAUCUAAUACCAUUUCCAUUUCCGAUCUGGUUAACCAUGGGAUUUGUAUUUUUCGUGAUUCCUCUGGUAUUUUAGAUGUUUCCCAUUUUUUAAUACAAAAUUUUAUUCCUUGGGCCUCUUUAAUAAUAAUAUGGAUCAUGUCUUUUGCUGUAUUGGAAUCUCCUUUGAUUAGUGACCUCGCUAAAUCCUGGUCCAUGGGAAGAUGAUCAGCCCCAACUUGUUUUGCCAUCUUGACCAAUAGUUUGGCUUCUGGUAUUAAUUGUAUUUGUAUUUUUGGUAUUUGACAAUCACAUGGUUGAUAAGUUAAUGUUUUAUUAACUUGGGUCCUCCAAUCCUCCAUUACUUCAGUAACCACUUCAACUGGAUCUCUAUUGGUAAUUUGGAUUUGAUUAUCGUUUUCAUCGCCCAUUUAUUAGUGUUUUGAAUACCUAAUAAUUUGGAGAAAUUAUCAUGAUAUUGUUUUUGGAAGUUCAAUCCAUAUUUUUUCCAGUUUUCUUGUAAUAACCAGUCGAAUCCAAUGUUAACCAUUUUAGAUACUAUUAUUGAGUUUACUAUUAGUUUUUUCAAAUCUGGUUUCAAGUAUCUGAUUUUUUCCAUAGAGAAUUUGAAGGUUUCCAUAAUUUGACAUGAUUUUUGAUCUAUCAUUUGGUUCAUCGCUUUGAUAGUAUUGUGGGUGGUAAUUUGGAAACCUAAAAUUUUUUGUUGUGUUUUUUGAUGGAAAUUUACAAUUGUUGUUUUAUCGACGUUGAUUUUCAGGUUGAUCUUACUAAAUUCCUCUGUUAUUAUUGGUAUAAUUGUUUGUGCUUGUUCAGGUUCUUGAUGAUUUGAUCAGUUGCUAAGAUGAAUAGUAGGCCUGAGAUUGCCGAACCUUGUGGGACACCAAUUGAUUCUUUUCUCCACCAUAUCUUCUUGUUAUUAUUGAAUCUUAACCAUCUCGUUGAGCAAAAUGAUGUUAAUAAUUCACCCAGUUGUCGGUCAUGUGUUGUUAUUAAUCGAAGAGCUUGGGUUAUAUCAACCUCAUCAAACGCUUUGGAUAGAUCUAACAUUAGCAGAAUUUUUUCCAAGAAGUUUUGGUGAAGUCAUCGGCGUCUAACGUUGAUUUUCUUGAUAUUUGCUUUAAUUUUUGUAUCUCGUAUUGGGUUAAUGGUUGAUAUUUAAAUUCAGCUUCAUCAUCGCUGUGUAUUGGUUUAUUAGUUGUAAAGAUUCGUGAUUGGAUAUCGUUGUUUUCCCGGUGAUUUCUAGAACUUUUCCUUUGGUCAUUUACUGUUGAUUUGGAGAAUUCUGUUCUUUUUCUUCUUAACGAAGAGAAAAAAAGAAAAAAAUUGUUUCGAAUUUGGUUAUUUGAUAUUCAAUUCGAAAGGACGAAAAGACAAAACAUCAACAGAGAAGCGAAAAUAAUUGAAGGCGAACUUUUUUAUUAUGAAUUGAGACAAAAUUCACCAAGACGAUGAUCCCUUCCAGUUAAUAAACUCAACAAAAUUAUCGUAAUUGUUGUAAUUAACACAACUAGACGACGAGAAAUGAUAAACAUCAUGAUUCUCAUUAAGAAAAAGGGUAAAAAUUAAUAAGCCUGUUAAUUGUUGGGAAAGAGACGAAGAAAAGAUUAAGAUAAUCAAACAAGAAAACAAAAUUAUAAAGAGGUGAUUAAAAUAAUUGACAUUCUGUCAGGAAACAGAAAAAUUGUCUAAACAAUUUAGACAAUAACAGCAAUUAGUUUCUGUUAUAAUUUAUGGUCAACAAUCAAAAAUUAACCCACAAAAAAGUUAAAGAGUAACAAUUAUCUCGCCCCAGCGACCACGAAAAUGUUUUCAUCAACAACAAUUUACCAACAAUUUAAAAUUAAUCUACAAUACAUAUCAUAUCAUCGUCCAUUUAAAAUUAUGUAUACAAAUGUUAACAACAAUUUAAAAAUUUUCUGUUCUUUUUUUUUAUCAAAUUCAAUUCUUAUGUAACUUUUAAUUGUAAUUAUAUUUACGCAUCUUGAUUGUUAAUAUAUAUUAACAACAGAUUAAUUAAUUGUUUCAACUAAACAAACUCAAUUGAAUGUUGUAAAAUGCUAAAUACUGUCUAGAGAAUAUGUAAAUUGUUAUAGUUAAUUGUUGGAUUGCCAAAAUCCAUCCACUAAUUGUGUUCAACCAACAAUCAACCUGAAUUUAUUAUAAGAAACUCAAAUUGUCACCAUAACCAUUGUUAUCAUUGUCACAGUUGAGAAUUGAAAAACCAAAGGCAUCCUCAUCAUCCUCAUCAUCUUCAUCAUCAUCGUAAUCACAUUUUGUCAUCUAAAUUGUUCAUUUAACUUGAUUGUCAACUAACAAACUCAAGUCUAUCUUUGAAAAUACGAUAUAUUCAAAUCUAGAUAAAGUAAACUGGAUUAAGCUGAUUAA
Molecule: long non-coding RNA, 2657 nt
Organism: Panonychus citri (citrus red mite)
Lineage: Eukaryota; Metazoa; Arthropoda; Arachnida; Trombidiformes; Tetranychidae
Exons: 7
Source: RefSeq, a predicted model, not a curated record